CUCUUCUUCCUCUACAGGUAUUGCUUCUGACCAUCCGAGGGCAAGCACACUCUUCCUGAGAAAGUAUCAAAUGAGUGUGAAAGGAAAGAGGAGAAGCUUUCGCCUAUAUUCUAUACCUCCUUGCCAUCUUGAUAGAAAAUACAGCUCGUGUUCCACCAUAUUGCUAGAUAACAGCACAGUCAGCGAGCCUGAUCCAGGCACACAUUAGAAAGUGUGACUUUGGCAAUAUAUUACAACAUAAAGCACAGAUAUGCAAAUAGAUCUCUGGCUAUUUUUGAUGAGCCAAUACAUCCACUUUCACGAGAAAAGAUUCCAGGGAAAUCCUUUGAGGAUGAUCCCAAACGCAACUGCAUUUUCAGAUAUUUCUGUAAUCUUUUU
Cebus imitator (Panamanian white-faced capuchin) is the source of this 378-nucleotide long non-coding RNA. RefSeq lists it as uncharacterized. The record is from RefSeq and is a predicted model, not a curated record. The transcript has 6 exons. NCBI's taxonomy places the organism in Eukaryota, Metazoa, Chordata, Mammalia, Primates, Cebidae.